GUCUUAUUGAAUUUAAUAAUAAGUUUAACCUGCCCACUGAAAAUAUAUUUAAAUGGCCGCAGUAUAUUAACUGUGCAAAGGUAGCAUAAUAAUUUGUCUUUUAAUUGAAGACUGGAAUGAAUGGUUGGACGUAAAAAUUACUGUCUCUAUUUUUUAUAUUGAAUUUUACUUUUAAGUGAAAAGGCUUAAAUUUUAUUAAGGGACGAGAAGACCCCAUCAAGUUUUAUAAAUUUAUACAAUAAUUUUUUCUAUUAUUAUUAUAUAAUUUAUUUUUCUGGGGCGGAAAAAAUAGUUUAUCUUUUUUUAAUAUAUUAAUAACUUAUAAGUUUACUAUUGAAUUUUUAUUAAAAAUAAAAUGAAUAAAUUACUGUGGGGGUAACAGCGUUAUUUCUUUUUAAAGUUCAUAUUAAUAAAGAAGAUUGCGACCUCGAUGUUGGAUUAAUUUAACUAAAUGGUGAAGAAGCUAUUGUUAUAAGUAAGUCUGUUCGACUUUUAAUAAAUUACA
This 505-nucleotide ribosomal RNA is filed under the name Pallenopsis macneilli. Its description in RNAcentral is "partial 16S ribosomal RNA". It matches the Rfam family "Archaeal large subunit ribosomal RNA", at positions 1921 to 2669 of the family's 2987-position model. The record is from RNAcentral. Lineage: Eukaryota; Metazoa; Arthropoda; Pycnogonida; Pantopoda; Pallenopsidae.